This 253-nucleotide ribosomal RNA is filed under the name uncultured bacterium. RNAcentral's name for it is "partial 16S ribosomal RNA". It matches the Rfam family "Bacterial small subunit ribosomal RNA", at positions 524 to 776 of the family's 1533-position model. The record is from RNAcentral.
UACGUAGGGGGCAAGCGUUGUCCGGAUUUAUUGGGCGUAAAGGGCGCGUAGGCGGCUUGAUAAGCGUGCGGUGAAAGCCCGGGGCUCAACCCCGGGUCGGCCGUGCGAACUGUCGAGCUGGAGCACUGUAGAGGCAGGUGGAAUUCCGGGUGUAGCGGUGGAAUGCGUAGAGAUCCGGAAGAACACCGGUGGCGAAGGCGGCCUGCUGGGCAGUGGCUGACGCUGAGGCGCGACAGCGUGGGGAGCAAACAGG